RNAcentral lists this transfer RNA (71 nucleotides) under Labrus mixtus (cuckoo wrasse). RNAcentral's name for it is "tRNA-Trp". It matches the Rfam family "tRNA". From Rfam's summary of the family: Transfer RNA (tRNA) molecules are approximately 80 nucleotides in length. Their secondary structure includes four short double-helical elements and three loops (D, anti-codon, and T loops). Lineage: Eukaryota; Metazoa; Chordata; Actinopteri; Labriformes; Labridae. The record is from RNAcentral.
AGGGCCUUAGGUUAGCAUUAGACCAAGAGCCUUCAAAGCCCUAAGCGAGAGUGAAAUUCUCCCAGGCCCUG